Long non-coding RNA from Meriones unguiculatus (Mongolian gerbil), 530 nucleotides. RefSeq lists it as uncharacterized. The transcript is spliced from 3 exons. Lineage: Eukaryota; Metazoa; Chordata; Mammalia; Rodentia; Muridae. The record is from RefSeq and is a predicted model, not a curated record.
AAGACAUUAGCAUAUUUCACCAGCACCAUCCAAACCAAGAUGAAUUAGAUUCAUUUUUUAUUUUCCUCUAGGCACCACAGCAAGCACUACUUGUCUACCAGCCACACUGCAUUUCCAGAGGAAAUCACAGUUUGGAAUCCGAGCAAAGCUCUUUCUGUCCUCUUCGGCAAUGGGAAUUGAACACCAUGUCUCGUAUAGUCUUCACCAAAUUCCAGGUAGAAGAAGCUUCUCCCUAAUGGCUGCGGCAUUUCCCCACCUCUUCCCAGACAGCCACAAAAGACGUCACCACUCUCCAUCAAUUCUCAUCUUCUGCUACUUCAUUUAUGAACUUUACACAUAGAGUGCUUUCAUCUGAUGUGUUCACGCAAUAUUUUUUUAACACCCAUCACUCUUCCGUGUCUGUGGUCUGUUCCACAUUAUUUGGAGAAGCUCCUUGUUGGAUGCAGCAGCGUCUUUAUCUAUUCACUAGACAUCGAGUGUUUGAGUUAUCCUCAUUUGGAGUAAUUUAAAAUAAAGUUUCUACAAGCCUC